Molecule: ribosomal RNA, 835 nt
Filed under: Wolbachia endosymbiont of Exorista sorbillans
Lineage: Bacteria; Pseudomonadati; Pseudomonadota; Alphaproteobacteria; Rickettsiales; Anaplasmataceae
Description: bacterial SSU rRNA
Rfam family: Bacterial small subunit ribosomal RNA
Source: RNAcentral
GUGCAACGGGUGAGUAUGUUUUAUCUCCUAGGAGUACGGAAUAUUGUCCGGAAACGACAACUAAUACCGUAUACGCCCUACGGGGGAAAAAUUUAUUGCUAUUAGAUGAGCCUAUAUUAGAUUAGCUAGUUGGUGGGGUAAUAGCCUACCAAGGUAAUGAUCUAUAGCUGAUCUGAGAGGAUGAUCAGCCACACUGGAACUGAGAUACGGUCCAGACUCCUACGGGAGGCAGCAGUGGGGAAUAUUGGACAAUGGGCGAAAGCCUGAUCCAGCCAUGCCGCAUGAGUGAAGAAGGCCUUUGGGUUGUAAAGCUCUUUUAGUGAGGAAGAUAAUGACGGUACUCACAGAAGAAGUCCUGGCUAACUCCGUGCCAGCAGCCGCGGUAAUACGGAGAGGGCUAGCGUUAUUCGGAAUUAUUGGGCGUAAAGGGCGCGUAGGCUGGUUAAUAAGUUAAAAGUGAAAUCCCGAGGCUUAACCUUGGGAAUUGCUUUUAAAACUAUUAAUCUAGAGAUUGAAAGAGGAUAGAGGAAUUCCUGGAUGUAGAAGGUAAAAUUCGUAAAUAUUAGGAGGAACCCAGUGGCGAAGCGUCUAUCUGGUUCAAAUCUGACCUGAACGCGAAGCGUGGGGAGCAAACAGGAUUAGAUACCCUCCUAGUCCACGCUGUAAACGAUGAAUGUUGGAAAUAUGGGGAGUUUACUUUCUGUAUUUCAGNUAAGUCGCGUUAAAGAUUAACCGCCUGGAAACUACGGUCGCAACUUUAAAACUCAAAGGAAUUGACGGGGACCCGCACAAGCGGUGGAGCAUGGGUUUAAUUGNAUGCNACGCAAAAUUCCGU